GUAUUGCGGUGUAUCCUUCCCAAGUGGCGUGGAUGUGAAGAGACACACAGUUCCCCUGAUGUUCCAUGGGCGACCUACUUGUGAUGUGGACCUGACCCUCCGCCAUGUAGCAGACAACCCCCCUCAGGUAUUGUGGUGUAUCCUUCCCAAGUGGCGUGGAUGUGAAGAGACACACAGUUCCCCUGAUGUUCCAUGGGCGACCUACUUGUGAUGUGGACCUGACCCUCCGCCAUGUAGCAGACAACCCCCCUCAGGUAUUGCGGUGUAUCCUUCCCAAGUGGCGUGGAUGUGAAGAGACACACAGUUCCCCUGAUGUUCCAUGGGCGACCUACUUGUGAUGUGGACCUGACCCUCCGCCAUGUAGCAGACAACCCCCCUCAGGUAUUGUGGUGUAUCCUUCCCAAGUGGCGUGGAUGUGAAGAGACACACAGUUCCCCUGAUGUUCCAUGGGCGACCUACUUGUGAUGUGGACCUGACCCUCCGCCAUGUAGCAGACAACCCCCCUCAGGUAUUGCGGUGUAUCCUUCCCAAGUGGCGUGGAUGUGAAGAGACACACAGUUCCCCUGAUGUUCCAUGGGCGACCUACUUGUGAUGUGGACCUGACCCUCCGCCAUGUAGCAGACAACCCCCCUCAGGUAUUGCGGUGUAUCCUUCCUAAGUGACGUGGAUGUGAAGAGACACACAGUUCCCCUGAUGUUCCAUGGGCGACCUACUUGUGAUGUGGACCUGACCCUCCACCAUGUAGCAGACAACCCCCCUCAGGUGAGAUGUAUUUCCCUAAACUCC
Molecule: long non-coding RNA, 786 nt
Organism: Pseudophryne corroboree (corroboree frog)
Lineage: Eukaryota; Metazoa; Chordata; Amphibia; Anura; Myobatrachidae
Exons: 6
Source: RefSeq, a predicted model, not a curated record